GGCAGGCUAUUCCAGAUUUUAGGUGCAUAACAGCAGAAGGCCGCCUCACCACUUCUUUUAAGUUUUGCUCUUGGAAUUCUAAGGAGACACUCAGUUGAGGAUCUGAGGUUACGAUUUGGAAUAUAGGGUGUCAGGCAUUCCGAUAUAUAAGAUGGAGUGAGAUUAUUUAAGGCUUUAUAAACCAUAAGCAGUAUUUUAAAGUCAAUUCUGAAUGACACAGGUAACCAGUGUAGUGACAUUAAAACUGGAGAAAUGUGCUCGGAUUUUCUUUUCCUAGUUAGGAUUCUAGCAGCUGCAUUCUGCACUAGUUGCAAAUGAUUUAUGUCUUUUUUGGGUAGUCCUGAGAGGAGUGCGUUACAGUAA
Molecule: long non-coding RNA, 363 nt
Organism: Erpetoichthys calabaricus (reedfish)
Lineage: Eukaryota; Metazoa; Chordata; Cladistia; Polypteriformes; Polypteridae
Exons: 2
Source: RefSeq, a predicted model, not a curated record